This 427-nucleotide ribosomal RNA is filed under the name uncultured Psychrobacter sp. RNAcentral's name for it is "bacterial SSU rRNA". It matches the Rfam family "Bacterial small subunit ribosomal RNA", at positions 355 to 774 of the family's 1533-position model. The record is from RNAcentral. Lineage: Bacteria; Pseudomonadati; Pseudomonadota; Gammaproteobacteria; Moraxellales; Moraxellaceae.
UGGGGAAUAUUGGACAAUGGGGGAAACCCUGAUCCAGCCAUGCCGCGUGUGUGAAGAAGGCCUUUUGGUUGUAAAGCACUUUAAGCAGUGAAGAAGACUCUUCGGUUAAUACCCGGAGACGAUGACAUUAGCUGCAGAAUAAGCACCGGCUAACUCUGUGCCAGCAGCCGCGGUAAUACAGAGGGUGCAAGCGUUAAUCGGAAUUACUGGGCGUAAAGCGAGCGUAGGUGGCUUGAUAAGUCAGAUGUGAAAUCCCCGGGCUUAACCUGGGAACUGCAUCUGAUACUGUCAGGCUAGAGUAGGUGAGAGGAAGGUAGAAUUCCAGGUGCAGCGGUGAAACGCGUAGAGAUCUGGAGGAAUACCGAUGGCGAAGGCAGCCUUCUGGCAUCAUACUGACACUGAGGCUCGAAAGCGUGGGUAGCAAACA